This 429-nucleotide ribosomal RNA is filed under the name Bacillota bacterium. RNAcentral describes it as "Firmicutes bacterium partial 16S ribosomal RNA". It matches the Rfam family "Bacterial small subunit ribosomal RNA", at positions 355 to 776 of the family's 1533-position model. RNAcentral also lists the same sequence under 1 other name. The record is from RNAcentral. Lineage: Bacteria; Bacillati; Bacillota.
UGGGGAAUUUUGGACAAUGGGCGAAAGCCUGAUCCAGCAAUGCCGCGUGUGUGAAGAAGGCCUUCGGGUUGUAAAGCACUUUUGUCCGGAAAGAAAUGGCUCUGGUUAAUACCUGGGGUCGAUGACGGUACCGGAAGAAUAAGGACCGGCUAACUACGUGCCAGCAGCCGCGGUAAUACGUAGGGUCCAAGCGUUAAUCGGAAUUACUGGGCGUAAAGCGUGCGCAGGCGGUUGUGCAAGACCGAUGUGAAAUCCCCGAGCUUAACUUGGGAAUUGCAUUGGUAACUGCACGGCUAGAGUGUGUCAGAGGGGGGUAGAAUUCCACGUGUAGCAGUGAAAUGCGUAGAGAUGUGGAGGAAUACCGAUGGCGAAGGCAGCCCCCUGGGAUAACACUGACGCUCAUGCACGAAAGCGUGGGGAGCAAACAGG